Molecule: transfer RNA, 73 nt
Filed under: Mus musculus (house mouse)
Lineage: Eukaryota; Metazoa; Chordata; Mammalia; Rodentia; Muridae
Rfam family: tRNA
About the family: Transfer RNA (tRNA) molecules are approximately 80 nucleotides in length. Their secondary structure includes four short double-helical elements and three loops (D, anti-codon, and T loops). Further hydrogen bonds mediate the characteristic L-shaped molecular structure. tRNAs have two regions of fundamental functional importance: the anti-codon, which is responsible for specific mRNA codon recognition, and the 3' end, to which the tRNAs corresponding amino acid is attached (by aminoacyl-tRNA synthetases). tRNAs cope with the degeneracy of the genetic code in two manners: having more than one tRNA (with a specific anti-codon) for a particular amino acid; and 'wobble' base-pairing, i.e. permitting non-standard base-pairing at the 3rd anti-codon position.
Source: Rfam by way of RNAcentral
GGGGAUGUAGCUCAGUGGAUAAGAGCACUUGCUGAGUAAGCAUGAAGACUUGAGUUCAAACCCACAGUCCCCU